ACUCCCUCUCUAGCCACCGCGUACCGACGAACCCAUCGGCGCGAAAAGAACUCCUCUUCAUCUCGAGGUCGCUGGCGGCGCGGAGAAGGAGGCCGGCGCCAUCUUCUUCCCAAGGAGGAUGGCAGCGGAGAGCAGGACCUCGGCGCGUCCUCCUCUCCCUACCGAGGCGGACUUCAGCGUCACCCGACUCCCACAGGAGGGAUGCCGGCGGCUUCGGCGGCAGCCCAGCGCCAAAGGGCCCUACGCCGGAGGGACCGAUUACCUCCGCGUUAAGCUCAUGGGCUACCUGCGCGAUCUGGCUAAACCUAGCCCUCAAAAAGUGUGCUCAAGAUCGCGCCACUUCCAACGCAGGGGCGCCGAGGUGGUGAGGAUGAGGAUCCCCGCGAUGGCGGAUUUGAGGAUCUCCUGCUCAAGCUAAUGGGCCAUCUGCGCGUGCUCCGGUCAAGCAAUCCUCUGCCCCUACAGUCGUCACCACCGCCGAUAGCAGUCGUCGCGCCGGCGCCGUCAUGGUGUUUCUCUCCGUCGGAGCGUCCUUGCGUCAGGUGGCCGCCGCCGCUACCUCCGGAUACCGUGUCUAGCCAGUCGGCCGCGUCGGUGGCCGCCGCCGCUACCACCGGAAAUCGCGGCAACUGCAUCUAGCCAGUCGUUCGCCGUUCAUCCCGCCCUUUGCCCGCGCCUCAACCGCAAAUUCGCCAAGCAUCCGCCGCCGUCCAGGACGAAACAGAGAGGAUAGGCGGCAGCACUGCUGGUGCUGGCGACACAGGCGACACCAACACGGCAGAAGGCGAGGUGGAUGUGAAGGGAGGAGGAACCUGCCGUUUAAGAUGGCCACGGGCGCAGUGCUUGGCGCUAGCAAGGAUCUCGAGUUCUCGACCUUCGCUGCCGUGUCCUUGCAUCCACUGCAAAACCAGCAACGGCGUUAUCCGCCAGCCGGCGCGUCUCUGCCUCUGCUGCCAAAUUUGGGGGGCGCAAGGAGUAGGGAAGAUCCGGGGCGACCACCACGGUGGGGCGCUACGUCCGUGAAGGCAGGACGAGCAGCAUCAAAAGACCUUGGAGACGACAAAGGGAAGGUCUCUCCCAUCUCAUAUGGGCCGCCAACCAAUGUCCUCUCUCUGUGCCAUCCCCAAAUUUUUGGAAAGUCUGAUGAUGUUUGAUGCACCAGAGGAAGAUUAGGAGAGAUAUUUUAUAAUUUGCCACAAUUACUUAGUAAAAGCCCAAGUAUAGGACCGUUAAUUUGAAGCAGAGUCAGCAGACGUAACCGUCAGCUAGGCGGCGGAGUGGACCAACUAUAUUGCUGCCACUGCUACACAGGCAGAAAAGGUAAGUUUUUAGCCCUAUCGGUUCGAGCUGAAUGAAGGGAUGGAGGUCUGGUCUGCAACGCCACAAACGGCACCACAAAAGGGACACCAGAAGAGCAGUCAUGGAUACAACCUUGGUGAAGGAUCUGUCACCUCGAGGGUUUCAAUGGAAGACCAUUGUGUGUGUCGCUCGAAUCUGGGAACAUAGGGAUCAAGCAACCUGGCAAAAUAAUUUGUUUUAGGUGGACUUCAUUGUCAUUGACCAAGAGGCAUGGUGCACCUGUUGUCCUUAUAUUUCGAGUGAAUGGCUUUGUGCAGUAUAGUAAAGGGAUGUUAAACUUUCUUCUGUUGUACGAUCAUUUAGUAUCGAAACUAAAUUUCCCUAGACAAUUAUACAUUCAAAAAUUAAAUGAUGUUUCAGGGCAACAAAAUGGAAGGCUGCAUCCCAGCCAAUCGAAUUGACCAGUUCAGAGAUAAAAUAAAGUAAGGUUCGAUACUAUUUUUCCCUUGGAUUCAUUCCAUGUUUGCUAUCCCACAGUACUGCCAAACACACAAGAAAGUUUGUCGCGUCUGUCCUGGUGGUGUUGAUCUCUUUCAGUUCUUCAUUGUUGUGCGCCGUGUCAAAUUGGAAAACCUGGUUAGUUUGUUUCUUGUGCAUCAGUGAACUAACUUGUCUUUUACUUCUUGACUCUUGAGGCUGCAGUUAAUAUGAAUUGAUUUAUUUUCGUCUCAAAUCAUGCAUAGAUAUUUAGUCCAUGCACUGAUAUUUUUAUUGAGGGUCCUUAGGAUAAAUUACCUGGUUUCAAACUUAUUUCGGCUGCCUUGAAUAUUGAUAUGAUUUUACUGACUAGAUCUUAGAAAUCCUACAGUGCAUGGAGCAGCUGUUCUUGAUGUCCCUGUUAAAGCCACUGUAAAAGAGGUGUUUUGUUUUAUAUAUCCAUAUGAUCAUCAAUAUGAUGAGUUUGCAAACAUCUUUAUAAGGAAACUUUUGAUCCACUGCAUCGUAAUUCAUCAAUAAUCACUUGUAGUACGUGUCAUGGAGAGAUCUUCAAACAACCACAAUUUUGUGUCAUAAUCGAUUCUACUUUAUUAAUACAAGAAAGAAUUUUCUUUUCUGCUUCUGAAUAUUUUGUGUCUGAAUUGAUUCAGAGAAGGAAUCCAUAUGUUUGGUGAUUUCCCUACAAUUUUUAUUUCCGUCUUUAAUUUGCCAAUACUGUUGUACUAUUCAGCAGGAAAUUUAACCCUGUAUUCGAAUCCAAGAUUAAAGUCUACAACAAAAUAUAUCGCUGGUGUGUUACUUUAGGAAAAAUCAACGCACCAGCUAUAUAUUUUGUUGUAGAUCUAAAUUUCCUUCUGAUUCCAAAUGUUCUAUACGUUUUAGUAUUAAUAGAUAAAAUAUGUCAGUUUUGUUGGAAUCUUCAACGAUUUUUAGCCAUGGCUGGUUGCUGAGCUUCAGUGGUUGACAGAUGCAUAUGUUAGUUGCUUCAUUCACCCAUUUAGUGAUUAGUUCUCUGCUAUCACAGAAAAGCACAAAUGCAUGGCAAGCUCCCAAUCAUGUAUAUAUCUGAAAUGGUCUAUUAGGGUCAAGAUUUAGAUGUAGCAGUACCUUGGUAGGUACAUUGUAUUCCUCCUUUAUUUUUGGCGAUUCUGCAUUUGAGAAUAUGUUCAUGCUUUCUGAAUCGAAUUAGAUCUGGAUUAUUCACUUGGUCUUAUUUGAUAUCGAAGUGAAGAGAGCUGGUACCAGCUUAUGAAUCUUUAAUAUUAUGUCGGGUCAUACAUCUUAGGCCUGCCAUAGUUUGAAGUUCUUUCAUUUCCUGUUUCAGUGAGAUAGCAUCUAACUCAUGUUCUAACAACUACGUACAGACAUCAAAUAUUAGUUGUUAUCAGAGGAAGUUAUUUUUAAUGCUUUAUCUUGAAAGGGUAACCAUAUACAUUCAACUGCAUAUGUGUUGUUCUUUCCAAAUAAGAUACACUUUAGAGUUCCCCCGAGUAGUAGGAUGCCUGAGUAGUUUGUCAAGUGGUAUUUUCAUGUCAAGACAUGUGUUAUUCUAGAGAUAAUGAACAACUUGCUUUUACCUCAGAAUUUUGAGGCCUCAUAGGGGGUGAGCCUCGCGGCGACACUUUAACUUUGUUUUUUGGUUUUCACUGCCUCUUUGCUGUGUAUGGUUUGGUGCUGCGUAGCGAUUUCGACUGUGCAGUUUGAUAUGUUUCCUUCGCUUACUGAACAGUUUGAGUGGUUUGGUGGCGUGGUCAUAGCUGAUGCAUGAUUGGAAACGGUGGUGGUUGAUGUGGAUGACUCACCCGAUCACACGUGUGUUCGACCGCUCAGACUAAUCUCCUCUGCAUUAUCCAUUCACAUUUUCACAGGCUCCAUCCUAGCACUUAUUUUCUUCUCUCUCUGUAAAUCAAUCGCCACGGGAGUUGGGAGCGCAGCAGGAAUGAGGCGCGCGUCGCGGGAGGAUCUUCGAGGCAGCCGCCGACGAGCGCGUCCCGGUAGGCUCCGCCGACAGCCGCCGCCGUUCUGCCUUGCCUCUCGCCUUCACCAAAUCGCCACUGUCCUCUAUUUCUCAGCCGCUCCCUGUCGAGCUUGCCGCCACCAAGAGCCGCCUCCCCGCCCGGACUGUUGAGAUACUUCGCCCCACACUACUCAUGGAGAUCAAGCACGACGCCGCCAUCAUCGCGACGCUGGAGACGAAGAACUGCUGUGGUUGAGGAGCUCCAGCGGAUCGCGAACUGUGCCCCGGAUGAGGUCCGACUGCUCCUGUUGGAGCUGCCUGCGGUGGGGAUCGCGAAGGACGCGCUGGAGCGGCCGGUGCUCCUCUGGCGCCAACCGGUGCACGCGGGGGUGCUGUCUUGGCCAAGACCUGCGCGCUGAGGUGGUUCGAGUCCGUGGAGCAGAUCGCCGUGUGCGCUUGGAGAGGAGGCGACGGCGACGACAGAGGGCCAGGGCACAGAGUUUUCGUCUCGCUCUUUGGUUUUUUUCGCAUCAUUGUACUCGCCUUACAGUUUAUUUUUCUUUUCUCUGUAGGCCACGUCCUGUCGUCAGUCGUUGAGUUGUCCCCCACCGGUGUCUAAGUUUGUUACGAAAACUUCUUCUCUUCUACAAUUGAGUUCUACAAGCCCACCGGGGAUCAAAGUCCUCUGCGUUUUGGAACAAUUAUAUGGCUUAAGGUAACCAAACCUGAAAAGGUUAGGCAAGAUUGAAAGUACAUAUUGAUUAUUCUGUGUUGCCUACUAUCUUGUGGCUCCAUAUGUGCUAAUUGUGACCAUUGAUGUUGUAGAUUUGUUCUUUGUAAUUUUGGACAACUGAGAUAUGUUCAGAUGCUAUUGAACACUCUGUAGCUGAACAGUUCUCACUUUCGCUGCUGUUGCUGCUAGACAACGGCUGAAUUUUGUUGAUGCUCCUCACAUUUGCAAUUAUUUGUUCGGCUCUACUUAGCCGCGAAGGUAGAUAAAGGACGUGAACAUUAAUUCAUUAUGAAGAGCUGACAUUUGAGAAUGCCCUGAUCAACUAGCUGCAUAUACAGUAAUGUAAAUUUCAUUUUUGGUUUCACAAGCUGGAGAUGCUGAUUUUAUAUUCCUUGAGGAAAUAUGAAUGAACUAAAUCAAGUGGUCUAAAGUUAGUUUGGUUUCAAGAUUCCAAGGACAGGGAAAAAAACUUUGCUGACCAUGAUACCAAUGUACCUGUCGUAGAUGAUUCGUAUGCUGGAGCUUUAGUAGGCGGAUGGAGGUACCUCAUAUAAGGCGAAACUUGUUCUAGAGAACUAUUAUGUUAGAUUUCAUUGCAGAAGAGGACUGCCGCUUACCUUUUCCCUGAUUCUAUCACGAUACAGAUUCAUAUGUAAACUGAAUGCCAAAAGAGAGGACUGCCCCAUCGCACUCACUUGGUUGCUCAAAGUUGACGGAACUCUCUAUAAAUAUGUUGACGCCCUUUUCUCUUUCCUACAGCACUUGCAUUUUAAUUGAUCGAAGGGACAAUGCUUUUCAUGAUUAUUUCUGCCACUUUUCUGUAUGGCAAUGGCUUAGCCAUUUGCUCGAUCUAUGACUGUAUUAGUAAAUGCAAA
Molecule: long non-coding RNA, 5362 nt
Organism: Lolium perenne
Lineage: Eukaryota; Viridiplantae; Streptophyta; Magnoliopsida; Poales; Poaceae
Source: RefSeq, a predicted model, not a curated record